This 269-nucleotide non-coding RNA is filed under the name Dehalobacter sp. RNAcentral describes it as "T-box sequence". It matches the Rfam family "T-box leader". Rfam says of the family: Uncharged tRNA acts as the effector for transcription antitermination of genes in the T-box leader family. T-boxes are found upstream of many aminoacyl-tRNA synthetase genes and some amino acid biosynthetic genes usually in Gram-positive bacteria. The record is from RNAcentral. Lineage: Bacteria; Bacillati; Bacillota; Clostridia; Eubacteriales; Desulfitobacteriaceae.
CAAACAGCAAGGAAUGGGACAGUAGCUUAAAAGGAAGUCCACAGAAAGCAAUCGAAUGCUGAGAGAUUGCGUCCGACUUUCAAGUGAAAAUCACCCGGGAGCUGAACUUCAGAAAUAUGUACCUUGUCACUGUCAAGUGAUCAAUUAACAGGGUUCCAGUAAGAAGUUUCGCCUGCCCUGCGUUAACGGGUAAGAGUGAUGUGUUUGACGUAAUUUCAUGUACCUCAGACAUAUAAUCAGGGUGGUACCGCGGUUUAGUCGUCCCUAAG